UUCCGUAGGUGAACCUGCGGAAGGAUCAUUACCUAGAGUUUGUAGACUUCGGUCUGCUACCUCUUACCCAUGUCUUUUGAGUACCUUCGUUUCCUCGGCGGGUCCGCCCGCCGAUUGGACAACAUUCAAACCCUUUGCAGUUGCAAUCAGCGUCUGAAAAAACAUAAUAGUUACAACUUUCAACAACGGAUCUCUUGGUUCUGGCAUCGAUGAAGAACGCAGCGAAAUGCGAUAAGUAGUGUGAAUUGCAGAAUUCAGUGAAUCAUCGAAUCUUUGAACGCACAUUGCGCCCCUUGGUAUUCCAUGGGGCAUGCCUGUUCGAGCGUCAUUUGUACCUUCAAGCUCUGCUUGGUGUUGGGUGUUUGUCUCGCCUCUGCGUGUAGACUCGCCUUAAAACAAUUGGCAGCCGGCGUAUUGAUUUCGGAGCGCAGUACAUCUCGCGCUUUGCACUCAUAACGACGACGUCCAAAAGUACAUUUUUACACUCUUGACCUCGGAUCAGGUAGGGAUACCCGCUGAAC
RNAcentral lists this ribosomal RNA (521 nucleotides) under Epicoccum nigrum. Its description in RNAcentral is "eukaryotic LSU rRNA". The stretch from base 175 to 328 matches the Rfam family "5.8S ribosomal RNA". The record is from RNAcentral. Lineage: Eukaryota; Fungi; Ascomycota; Dothideomycetes; Pleosporales; Didymellaceae.